Molecule: ribosomal RNA, 439 nt
Filed under: uncultured bacterium
Lineage: Bacteria
Description: partial 16S ribosomal RNA
Rfam family: Bacterial small subunit ribosomal RNA
Source: RNAcentral
CUACGGGAGGCUGCAGUGAGGAAUAUUGCACAAUGGGGGGAACCCUGAUGCAGCAACGCCGCGUGGAGGAUGACGCAUUUCGGUGUGUAAACUCCUUUUAUAUGUCAAGAAAAUGACGGUAGCACAUGAAUAAGCACCGGCUAACUCCGUGCCAGCAGCCGCGGUAAUACGGAGGGUGCAAGCGUUACUCGGAAUCACUGGGCGUAAAGGACGCGUAGGCGGGUUGGAAAGUCAGGUGUGAAAUCCUACAGCUUAACUGUAGAACUGCACUUGAAACUUCUAAUCUAGAGUAUGGGAGGGGGAGAUGGAAUUAGUGGUGUAGGGGUAAAAUCCGUAGAUAUAACUAGGAAUACCUAAAGCGAAGGCGAUCUCCUGGAACAUUACUGACGCUAAGGCGUGAAAGCGUGGGGAGCAAACAGGAUUAGAUACCCCGGUAGUC